UGGGCGUCGCGGGACCAGAGAUGGUCUUUCAGUUUCGGCUGGACGCCACACAGGUGCUGCAUGGCCUGUCGUCAGCUCGUGUCGUGAGAUGUUCGGUUAAGUCCGGCAACGAGCGCAACCCACGUCCUUAGUUGCCAGCAUUCAGUUGGGCACUCUAGGGAAACUGCCGAUGAUAAGUCGGAGGAAGGUGUGGAUGACGUCAAGUCCUCAUGGCCCUUACGGGUUGGGCUACACACGUGCUACAAUGGUGGUGACAAUGGGUUAAUCCCCAAAAGCCAUCUCAGUUCGGAUUGGGGUCUGCAACUCGACCCCAUGAAGUCGGAAUCGCUAGUAAUCGCGUAACUAGCAUGACGCGGUGAAUACGUUCCCGGGCCUU
This 376-nucleotide ribosomal RNA is filed under the name uncultured Paracoccaceae bacterium. Its description in RNAcentral is "bacterial SSU rRNA". It matches the Rfam family "Bacterial small subunit ribosomal RNA", at positions 987 to 1382 of the family's 1533-position model. The record is from RNAcentral. Lineage: Bacteria; Pseudomonadati; Pseudomonadota; Alphaproteobacteria; Rhodobacterales; Paracoccaceae.